AUGCUAGCAAAGCAAGCAUGGAGGCUGCUCCAAAAUCCCACCUCAUUAUGCGCCCAGGUGCUCUCAGCAAGAUACUACCCAGAGUGUUCAAUAAUACAAACAAGGCCAAGAAGUGGCAUCUCCUAUGUAUGGCGAAGCAUUCUAAAAGGCAUUGAACUGCUGAAGAAGGGAAUCAUAUGGAGAUUAAGUAGCGGUAAGAACAUUGAUAUAUGGUCAGACCCAUGGAUUCCAAGAGGCAACACCAGAAGGGUCAUCACCCAAAAGGGUAAUAACUUGGUAACUAAAGUCAGUGAGCUAAUUAAUCCAAUCACGAACAAGUGGGACAAAGAAUUAGUGAAGCAGAUGUUCAUUCCGGAAGAUGCAAGAGUUAUUCUUUAGAUCCCAGUCCAAGACCAUAUUGAGGACUUCAUGGCAUGGCACUAUGAUAAAAAAGGUAUAUUUUCAGUUAAAUCUGCAUACCAAGUUGCAAUUGACUGUGCUGCCCGGGAGUCUAGCUCGGGACUAACCUCUACUUCAAGUGCAGCUGAAGGAGAGGACGAAUUUGAUUGGCGAAAACUAUGGUCGAUGCCCAUCCCAAACAAGGUGCUUCAUUUCCUGUGGCGUCUAGCUACAAAUAGCUUACCGCUUCGGACAAAACUAAAAAGCAGAGGUAUGAAAGUUGACACUCGGUGCCCUAUGUGCCUUAGAUUGGAUGAGGAUGGGCACUGUUUUGUAAAGUGCAAGAAAGUAAAACAAGUGUGGAGAAUGGCUCAACUUGAGCAUGUCAGGCUGCAACUAGUUCCCUGUGAUAAUGCUUUGAACUUCUUAGGAAAAAUCCUUAAAUUGCAAGAGGACAUUAAGUUAAAAACUUGCUUAUUACUUUGGCGCUGGUGGCAUGAGAGAAACAGUGCAAAUAAAGGGAAUGAGUUAAAAUCAUCUAGUGAGAUUUGCUCUUCUAUUGACUACCACUUUUUGAAUGCUGUGAAGGCACAUGAAGGGGACAGGCUAGCUCAACAUCCAAAACAUAAAUGGACAAGACCACCUGCUGGAAUUCUCAAGAUCAAUACAGAUGGAGCUUUUCAUGGCAAUACCAGUGAUGGAGGUUAG
This 1086-nucleotide ribosomal RNA is filed under the name Triticum aestivum (bread wheat). Its description in RNAcentral is "partial small subunit ribosomal RNA". Lineage: Eukaryota; Viridiplantae; Streptophyta; Magnoliopsida; Poales; Poaceae. The record is from RNAcentral.